This 361-nucleotide ribosomal RNA is filed under the name uncultured Faecalibacterium sp. Its description in RNAcentral is "bacterial SSU rRNA". It matches the Rfam family "Bacterial small subunit ribosomal RNA", at positions 355 to 733 of the family's 1533-position model. Lineage: Bacteria; Bacillati; Bacillota; Clostridia; Eubacteriales; Oscillospiraceae. The record is from RNAcentral.
UGGGGAAUAUUGCACAAUGGAGGAAACUCUGAUGCAGCGAUGCCGCGUGAGUGAAGAAGGUCUUCGGAUUGUAAAACUCUGUCUUCAGGGACGAUAAUGACGGUACUCAACAAGGAAGUGACGGCUAACUACGUGCCAGCAGCCGCGGUAAAACGUAGGUCACAAGCGUUGUCCGGAAUUACUGGGUGUAAAGGGAGCGCAGGCGGGAAGGCAAGUUGGAAGUGAAAUCCAUGGGCUCAACCCAUGAACUGCUUUCAAAACUGUUUUUCUUGAGUAGUGCAGAGGUAGGCGGAAUUCCCGGUGUAGCGGUGGAAUGCGUAGAUAUCGGGAGGAACACCAGUGGCGAAGGCGGCCUACUGGG